RNAcentral lists this ribosomal RNA (831 nucleotides) under Thopha saccata. Its description in RNAcentral is "SSU rRNA". It matches the Rfam family "Eukaryotic small subunit ribosomal RNA", at positions 964 to 1797 of the family's 1831-position model. The record is from RNAcentral. Lineage: Eukaryota; Metazoa; Arthropoda; Insecta; Hemiptera; Cicadidae.
AUGUUUCCGUUAAUCAAGAACGAAAGUUAGAGGUUCGAAGGCGAUCAGAUACCGCCCUAGUUCUAACCAUAAACGAUGCCAGCCAGCGAUCCGCCGAAGUUCCUCCGAUGACUCGGCGGGCAGCUUCCGGGAAACCAAAGCUUUUGGGUUCCGGGGGAAGUAUGGUUGCAAAGCUGAAACUUAAAGGAAUUGACGGAAGGGCACCACCAGGAGUGGAGCCUGCGGCUUAAUUUGACUCAACACGGGAAACCUCACCAGGCCCGGACACCGGAAGGAUUGACAGAUUGAGAGCUCUUUCUUGAUUCGGUGGGUGGUGGUGCAUGGCCGUUCUUAGUUGGUGGAGCGAUUUGUCUGGUUAAUUCCGGUAACGAACGAGACUCUAGCCUGCUAAAUAGACGAUUUCCGGUAUCCACAAUAGUGCUACCGGCGAAAUCAAUAUCUUCUUAGAGGGACAGGCGGCUUUCAGCCGCACGAAACUGAGCAAUAACAGGUCUGUGAUGCCCUUAGAUGUCCUGGGCCGCACGCGCGCUACACUGAAGGAAUCAGCGUGUACACCCUGGCCGAAAGGCUCGGGCAACCCGUUGAACCUCCUUCGUGCUAGGGAUUGGGGCUUGCAAUUGUUCCCCAUGAACGAGGAAUUCCCAGUAAGCGCGAGUCAUAAGCUCGCGUUGAUUACGUCCCUGCCCUUUGUACACACCGCCCGUCGCUACUACCGAUUGAAUGAUUUAGUGAGGUCUUCGGACUGGUGCGCGGCGGCCGCCUGCGCGGCCGCCGAUGCCACCGGGAAGAUGACCGAACUUGAUCAUUUAGAGGAAGUAAAAGUCGUAACAA